CAGCCACAUCAUAUUGAAACAUUGGUUCCCAUACGAUUACAGAAGUUAAGCAACUUUGAGCCUGGUCAGUAACUAGAUUGGUGACCAUUUAGGAAUACCAAGUU
RNAcentral lists this ribosomal RNA (104 nucleotides) under Acanthosepion pharaonis. Lineage: Eukaryota; Metazoa; Mollusca; Cephalopoda; Sepiida; Sepiidae. The record is from RNAcentral.